Oncorhynchus tshawytscha (Chinook salmon) is the source of this 1478-nucleotide long non-coding RNA. The record is from Ensembl. Lineage: Eukaryota; Metazoa; Chordata; Actinopteri; Salmoniformes; Salmonidae.
CAAUUUGUAUACUGCCCAAACAGAUCCACAGAUGAUGCAAUCUCUAUUGCAACCCACACUGCCCUUUCCCACCUGGACAAAAGGAACACCUAUGGGAGAAUGCUAUUCAUUGACUACAGCUCAGCGUUCAACACCGUAGUGCCCUCAAAGCUCAUCACUAAGCUAAGGACCCUGGGACUAAACACCUUCCUCUGCAACUGGAUCCUGGACUUCCUGUCGGGCCGCCACCAUGUGGUCAGGGUAGGUAGCAACACAUCCGCCACGCUGAUCCUCAACACUGGAGCUCCCAGGCGUACGUGUGCAGUCCUUCCUGUACUCCCUGUUCACCCACAACUGCAUGGCCAGGCAUGACUCCAAACCAUCAUUAAGUUUGCCGAUGACACAGUGGUAGGCCUGAUCACCGACGAGACAGCCUAUAGGUAGGAAGUUAGAGACAUGGUCGGGUUGUGCCAGAAUAACAACCUGUCCCUCAACGUAACCAAGACUAAGGAGAUGAUUGUGGACUACAGGAAAAGGAGCACCGAGCACGUUCCCAUUCUCAUUGACUGGGCUGUAGUGGAGCAGGUUGAGAGCUUCAAAUUCCUUGGUGUCCACAUCACCAACAAACUAGAAUGGUCCAAACACACCAAGACAGUCGUGAAGAGGGCACGACAACACCUUUUCCCCCUCAGGAAACUGAAAAGAUUUGGCAUGGGUCCUGAGAUCCUCAAAAAGUUCUACAGCUGCAACAUCGAAAGCAUCCUGACCGGUUGAAUCACUGCCUGGUAUGGCAACUGCUCGACCUCCGACCGCAAGGCACUAUAGAGGAUAGUGCAUACGGCCCAGUACAUCACUGGGGCUAAGCUUCCUACCAUCCAGGACCUAUAUACCAGGCGGUGUCAGAGGAAAGCCCUGAAAAUUGUCAAAGACCCCAGCCACCCCAGUUAUAGACUGUUCUCUCUACUACCGCAUAUCAAGCAGUACCAAGUGCCAAGUCUAGGACAAAAAGGCUUCUCAACAGUUUUUACCCCCAAGCCAUAAGACUCCAGAACAGGUAAUCAAAUGGCUUCCUGGACUAUUUGCAUUGUGUGCCCCCCCAACCCCUCUUACGCUGCUGCUACUCUCUGUUUAUCAUAUAUGCAUAGUCACGUUAACUAUACGUUCAUGUACAUACUUCCUAAAUGGCCCGACCAACCAGUGCUCCUGCACAUUGACUAACUGGGCUAUCUGCAUUGUGUCCCACCACCCGCCUACCCCUCCUUUUACACUACUGCUACUCUGUUCAUCAUAUAUGCAUAGUCACUUUAACCAUAUCUACAUGUACAUACUACCUCAAUCAGCAUGACUAACAGGUGUCUGUAUAUAUCCUUGCUACUCUUUUAUCAAAUGUCUUUUUACUGUUUUAUUUCUUUACUCACACACACUUUUCUCCACACUAUUGGUUAGAGCCUGUAAGUAAGCAUUUCACUGUAAGGUCUACUACACCUGUUGUAUUCAGC